This 253-nucleotide ribosomal RNA is filed under the name uncultured bacterium. Its description in RNAcentral is "partial 16S ribosomal RNA". It matches the Rfam family "Bacterial small subunit ribosomal RNA", at positions 524 to 776 of the family's 1533-position model. The record is from RNAcentral.
UACGUAGGGUGCGAGCGUUAAUCGGAAUUACUGGGCGUAAAGCGUGCGCAGACGGUUUUGUAAGCCAGAUGUGAAAUCCCCGGGCUUAACCUGGGAAUGGCAUUUGGGACUGCAAGGCUUGAGUGCGGCAGAGGAGACUGGAAUUCCUGGUGUAGCAGUGAAAUGCGUAGAUAUCAGGAGGAAUACCGAUGGCGAAGGCAGGUCUCUGGGCUGACACUGACGCUCAUGCACGAAAGCGUGGGGAGCAAACAGG